GUACACACCGCCCGUCGCUCCUACCGAUUGAGUGAUCCGGUGGAUAACUCGGACUGCAGCAGUGCCCAGCUCCUGGUCCUUGCUGUGGGAAGUUUGGUGAACCUUAUCACUUAGAGGAAGGAGAAGUCGUAACAAGGUUUCCGUAGGUGAACCUGCAGAAGGAUCA
Molecule: ribosomal RNA, 166 nt
Filed under: uncultured eukaryote
Lineage: Eukaryota
Description: partial small subunit ribosomal RNA
Rfam family: Eukaryotic small subunit ribosomal RNA
Source: RNAcentral